Molecule: long non-coding RNA, 251 nt
Filed under: Manihot esculenta (cassava)
Lineage: Eukaryota; Viridiplantae; Streptophyta; Magnoliopsida; Malpighiales; Euphorbiaceae
Description: long non-coding RNA (MESC_LNC006607)
Source: RNAcentral
CUGCUCAAGGACCUCCACCCGGGCUAGGGCACUUUCCCUCUGAGCCUUCACCUCAUUCAGGUGAGCUUGAAGCCCUUCAAAAUCGGCCUUUAAGGCCUCAUAUUGGCGCUGGACCUCAGCUUUUUGGCUUACAGCCUCAUCCCUCUCCUAAAGGGCCGCUGUCAUAGAGGACAGCUGCUUUACAACCUCUACACAACGAGCUUCCACCUCAGCUGCCCUCUCAUCGGACUCCUGGAGAACCCUGCGAGUAC